RNAcentral lists this ribosomal RNA (430 nucleotides) under uncultured bacterium. RNAcentral's name for it is "bacterial SSU rRNA". It matches the Rfam family "Bacterial small subunit ribosomal RNA", at positions 355 to 777 of the family's 1533-position model. The record is from RNAcentral.
UAGGGAAUCUUCGGCAAUGGACGAAAGUCUGACCGAGCAACGCCGCGUGAGUGAAGAAGGUUUUCGGACCGUAAAACGCGGUUGUUAGAGAAGAACAAGGAUGAGAGUAACUGUUCAUCCCUUGACGGUAUCUAACCAGAAAGCCAAGGCUAACUACGUGCCAGCAGCUGCGGUAAUACGUAGGUGGCAAGCGUUGUCCGGAUUUAUUGGGCGUAAAGCGAGCGCAGGCGGUUUCUUAAGUCUGAUGUGAAAGCCCCCGGCUCAACCGGGGAGGGUCAUUGGAAACUGGGAGACUUGAGUGCAGAAGAGGAGAGUGGAAUUCCAUGUGUAGCGGUGAAAUGCGUAGAUAUAUGGAGGAACACCAGUGGCGAAGGCGGCUCUCUGGUCUGUAACUGACGCUGAGGCUCGAAAGCGUGGGGAGCAAACAGGA